This 112-nucleotide small RNA is filed under the name Epilithonimonas arachidiradicis. Its description in RNAcentral is "Chryseobacterium arachidiradicis Flavo-1 RNA". It matches the Rfam family "Flavo-1 RNA". Lineage: Bacteria; Pseudomonadati; Bacteroidota; Flavobacteriia; Flavobacteriales; Weeksellaceae. The record is from RNAcentral.
ACAUAGCCCCGAUGGCAGCGGCAUCCUUUUUUGUUUUGGUGUGAGGCGGCGGAGCGAAGCGUAGCCGACCGAGCGCCAAAACAAAAAGAUAUAGCGAACAGCGGGUGAGAAA